UAGCUCAGUUGGUAGAGCAUGGUGUUUGCAACGCCAUGGUUGUGGGUUCGAUUCCCAC
Non-coding RNA from Salmo salar (Atlantic salmon), 58 nucleotides. The record is from Rfam. NCBI's taxonomy places the organism in Eukaryota, Metazoa, Chordata, Actinopteri, Salmoniformes, Salmonidae.